This is an RNA transcript of Aethalodelphis obliquidens (Pacific white-sided dolphin), 2465 nucleotides long. It is a transcript of the gene named FAST kinase domains 3, with no coding region annotated. The transcript has 7 exons. The record is from RefSeq and is a predicted model, not a curated record. NCBI's taxonomy places the organism in Eukaryota, Metazoa, Chordata, Mammalia, Artiodactyla, Delphinidae.
CGAAGCGCUGGGCGCCAGUGUGGCGUGCGCGUACGGGGCUCCAAGAGGCUGCUGUGCGUUCAGGGUUUGCUGGGUCCCCCAGCGAGCCGAGUCAGUUAUAAAUCAAGAGGAGUUUAGAGUCUGGUGGCAUGGCUUUAAUUACCUUGCGGAGGAACCUUUGUCAUUUAUCUGAUUUUCGGAUACAUGGAACUCUGGCUGGCCUGAAAACUCAACGUGUAAAUUGUGUUCACAAGACAGUCAAGGAGCAUCUGUGUCCAUGGUUCUGGUCACUGCAACUUGAGCCUGUUAGGGUCAGGUUCCAUCAUGCCCAUUCUAAAAAGUUCCAUUCAGAAAACGGAAAUGACCCUCAUCCAGUUGGCGAGCCAGUGUUCUCUCAAGCACACGCUUGGGACAGGUCUGAACACAGUGUUAAAAAUGUGGAUGAACAGAUAUUUUACAGGAGACUGAACAGCUUCACUUCAUCGGAAGAAGUCUUACAUUAUAUAAGCACACUGCAGACUUUGCCUGAUACUAUGGCAGCAGGAGCCUUACAUCGGAUUUGUGAAAUGGAAAAAAAAGAUGAUGAUCAAAGGUUGCCAAAAGAAAUACUGGAGAAUAGCGCCUUUCAAGCUUUGUGUAAUCAGUUUGCACAGGACCCCUCAAAUCUGUCAAACACGGGUUUGGUGACUGCCUUGCAAGCCCUGACCCUGUAUGUGGAUCCCCAAAGUCGCUUGCUGCUAAGCCUCCUGGCAGAGUGCCAGCAUCGUCUCGAAAUGGGUAGCCUGGACAUUCACAGUCUUUGUAUCCUGGGGGAAUGUCUGAUUAAACUGCAAGGUCCAGGUUGUUCGACACUAGACCUGAUUAUAUAUCAACUGCAAGGUGAAAAUUUGGAAGAAUUUACCCCCGAGGAUAUUGUGACCCUUUACAGAAUACUGCAGGCAUGUCCUGAAAAAGUUGACCAACACCAGACGUUUUUACAUAAGAUAAAUAACUUUUCUCUGUCAGUAGUUCCCAACCUGAGUCCUAAGUUGCUGAGCCAAAUGCUCACCGCCCUGGUGGUCCUUGAUCAAACUCAGGCACUUACGCUGGUUAUAAAAUUGGGUAAAUACGUUGUGAGGCAUAUCCCCCAUUUCACUAAUGAAGAGCUCAAAGAAGUCUUAGAGGCAUUCAUCUACUUUGGGUACAAUGACAGAUUUUUUACAGAAGCCCUAGAGCAACAUGUCGCUUCCCUCUGUCUCACUCUGGAUCCCGAGGUUGUCAGCAAAGUCAUGGAGUAUUGCAGUAGAAAGCUGAUUUUUUCAAAACCCAUCCUCAAUGCAGUGGCAGAAACUUUUGUUUGUCAGUCAGAAAAAUUUUCACCUAAUCAAACUGCUGAGUUAAUUGAACCAUUUGGAAAACUCAAUUAUUUGCCACCAAAUGCCUCUGCUUUAUUUAGGAAGCUAGAAAACAUACUGUUAACUCGUUUCAAUUAUUUUCCACCCAAAACACUAUUGAAACUUCUCCAUUCAUGUUCACUUAUUGAAUGCCAUCCAGUCAACUUUAUGGCCAAAAUAUUCAGCCCGUAUUUUCUUCAGCAGCUGCAAGGUGAAGAGUCCUAUUUGGACAGACUGAGCCUAGCACAACUGACCCAGCUUUUCUUAACCGCGAUUCUAGAAUGCCCGUUCUAUAAGGGUCCAAAACUUCUUCCUAAAUAUCAAGUGAAAUCAUUUCUUACUCCAUGCUCUUCCCUGGAGACCCCCAUGGAUUUUCAGCUAUAUAAAUCUGUGAUGAUUGGACUGAUUGACCUUUUAGGAGCAAGACUGUAUUUUGCUUCAAAAGUGUUAACACCCUAUUGUUACACGAUAGCCUUCUGCCCAGUUGAUAAAUGCAGUAUGGAAGAAAUCAAAACAACAAGGAGAAAAGGAAGCUAGUGUUUGUGAGGGUAUCACACGAAGAAUUUUUCCUUUCUUCUCUUACCAGAUGUUGAAAUUAAAUUAGAUGAAGAUGGAUUUGUAUUACCAUUUACAGUUGAUGAAGAUAUACAUAAAAGGGUAGCACUGUGCAUUGAUGGUCCAAAAAGAUUUUGUUUGAAUAGCAAACAGUUACUGGGAAAGGAAGCUACUAAACAAAGACAUCUGUACUUACUUGGUUAUCAAGUUGUCCAGAUUCCCUAUUACGAGAUUGAGAUGCUAAAGUCAAGACUUGAAUUAGUGGAAUAUUUACAAAGAAAACUGUUUUCUCAAAACUCUGGUGGUCACUGGUAACAAGAAGGAAUACUGACUUCAGAACCCAAAUAGUGAAAGAACUUGCAAAUUAGCCGUUUAUUUAUGUACUUUGGUGAUCUGAAAGGGGUCUCUAGUUUCCUUAUACCAUGUAUACGCUUAUCAGUAGCAAAUUUAAAAUUAAUUUUAACCUUCAUUUAAUACUGGUAUCAGAUACUUUUAUACAUCAAACAGAAUUGAUCAAGUACAAUAAAGGAAUGUAAUGAGUAAGUGUCAUAAUUUUAA